RNAcentral lists this ribosomal RNA (253 nucleotides) under uncultured bacterium. RNAcentral's name for it is "partial 16S ribosomal RNA". It matches the Rfam family "Bacterial small subunit ribosomal RNA", at positions 524 to 776 of the family's 1533-position model. The record is from RNAcentral.
UACGGGGGGGGCAAGCGUUGUUCGGAAUUACUGGGCGUAAAGGGUUUGUAGGUGGCCAACUAAGUCAGACGUGAAAUCCCUCGGCUUAACCGGGGAACUGCGUCUGAUACUGGAUGGCUCGAGUUUGGGAGAGGGAUGCGGAAUUCCAGGUGUAGCGGUGAAAUGCGUAGAUAUCUGGAGGAACACCGGUGGCGAAGGCGGCAUCCUGGACCAACACUGACACUGAAAAGCGAAAGCCAGGGGAGCAAACAGG